This 439-nucleotide ribosomal RNA is filed under the name uncultured bacterium. Its description in RNAcentral is "partial 16S ribosomal RNA". It matches the Rfam family "Bacterial small subunit ribosomal RNA", at positions 338 to 795 of the family's 1533-position model. The record is from RNAcentral.
CCUACGGGAGGCAGCAGUGGGGGAUAUUGCACAAUGGGGGAAACCCUGAUGCAGCGACGCCGCGUGGGUGAAGACGCGCCUCGGCGCGUAAAGCCCUGUCCACAGGGAAGAAAAUGCCGGUACCUGAAGAAGACGCCCCGGCUAACUACCAGCCAGCAGCCGCGGUAAUACGUAGGGGCAAGCGGUAUCCGGAUUUACUGGGUGUAAAGGGGCCGCGGACGGCGAUGCCAGCCAGGAGUGAAAGCCCGGGGCCCAACCCCGGGACUGCUCUUGGAAUUGCGUGGCUAGGGUGCAGGAGGGGCAGGCGGAAUGCCUGGUGUAGCGGUGAAAGGCGUAGAUAUCAGGAGGAACACCGGUGGCGAAGGCGGCCUGCUGGACUGCAACUGACGUUGAGGCCCGAAAGCGUGGGGAGCAAACAGGAUUAGAUACCCCUGUAGUC